AAUGGGGGAAACCCUGACGCAGCAACGCCGCGUGAGUGAUGAAGGUCUUCGGAUUGUAAAACUCUGUCUUCAGGGACGAUAAUGACGGUACCUGAGGAGGAAGCCACGGCUAACUACGUGCCAGCAGCCGCGGUAAUACGUAGGUGGCGAGCGUUGUCCGGAAUUACUGGGCGUAAAGGGCGCGUAGGCGGCCUGUUAAGUCAGAUGUGAAACCCCCAGGCUCAACUUGGGGAUUGCAUAUGAAACUGAUGGGCUCGAGUGUCGGAGAGGAAAGCGGAAUUCCUAGUGUAGCGGUGAAAUGCGUAGAUAUUAGGAGGAACACCAGUGGCGAAGGCGGCUUUCUGGACGAUAACUGACGCUGAGGCGCGAAAGCGUGGGGAGCAAA
This 385-nucleotide ribosomal RNA is filed under the name uncultured bacterium. Its description in RNAcentral is "bacterial SSU rRNA". It matches the Rfam family "Bacterial small subunit ribosomal RNA", at positions 370 to 772 of the family's 1533-position model. The record is from RNAcentral.